ACGAACGCUGGCGGCAUGCCUAACACAUGCAAGUCGAACGAGACCUUCGGGUCUAGUGGCGCACGGGUGCGUAACGCGUGGGAACCUGCCUUUAGGUUCGGAAUAACUCAGAGAAAUUUGAGCUAAUACCGGAUGAUGUCUUCGGACCAAAGAUUUAUCGCCUUUAGAUGGGCCCGCGUUGGAUUAGCUAGUUGGUGGGGUAAAGGCCUACCAAGGCGACGAUCCAUAGCUGGUCUGAGAGGAUGAUCAGCCACACUGGGACUGAGACACGGCCCAGACUCCUACGGGAGGCAGCAGUGGGGAAUAUUGGACAAUGGGCGAAAGCCUGAUCCAGCAAUGCCGCGUGAGUGAUGAAGGCCUUAGGGUUGUAAAGCUCUUUUACCCGAGAUGAUAAUGACAGUAUCGGGAGAAUAAGCUCCGGCUAACUCCGU
Molecule: ribosomal RNA, 431 nt
Filed under: uncultured bacterium
Lineage: Bacteria
Description: partial 16S ribosomal RNA
Rfam family: Bacterial small subunit ribosomal RNA
Source: RNAcentral